This is a long non-coding RNA of Oreochromis niloticus (Nile tilapia), 664 nucleotides long. RefSeq lists it as uncharacterized. The transcript is spliced from 2 exons. The record is from RefSeq and is a predicted model, not a curated record. Lineage: Eukaryota; Metazoa; Chordata; Actinopteri; Cichliformes; Cichlidae.
GCUCAACAAAUUACUACCUUGACUAAAAGUUUUUCCACACGUUGUGCAAGAAUACAGCCUCUCGCCGGUGUGGAUUCGCUGGUGGGCCAUCAAAUGACCACUUUGAUUGAAAGACUUCCCGCAUGUUUUACAAGAAUACGGCCUCUCGCCAGUGUGGAUUCUCAUGUGGAUCAUCAAAUCACUGCUUUGACUAAAGCUUUUCUCGCAUGUUUUGCAAGUAUGCAGCUUCUCUCUUGUUUGCAUUCUGUGACAUGUCCUCUUUUGAGACUUUUUAUUGAAGGCCUUUUUACGUUUUCUUAAGGGAAAACCAUCUCCUUUCAAAGGCUGUUUACCUGUAUCAGUGUUACACUUAUCAGCUGGCAUGGGAGAGUUUUCUGUAUCAUUGCUCUGACUUCUGCUUCUAUUUCCAGUCGAUCCUGAAUUGACAUUCCCGCUUCCUUCCUGAUCUUGGCUCUCAGCUACAGCAGAGCUGUGAGCAGGGAGCUGGUCACUGUCUGGUUCUGCUUCACUCUGGUCGCUUUCCCCCCAAGUAACAGUCACCUUAAAAAUGGUAUCAUUCUCUUCCUUCACUACAACCUGCUCUCCCUCCUGACUCCUGUUCCUCUGUACUCUGUGGAGGUUCUGGUUCCUCCCGGUCCAGUCUGGAGCUCCUCUCCUGGUUACA